RNAcentral lists this ribosomal RNA (316 nucleotides) under Bacillus anthracis (anthrax bacterium). RNAcentral's name for it is "bacterial LSU rRNA". It matches the Rfam family "Bacterial large subunit ribosomal RNA", at positions 1 to 313 of the family's 2925-position model. The record is from RNAcentral. Lineage: Bacteria; Bacillati; Bacillota; Bacilli; Caryophanales; Bacillaceae.
UUUGGUUAAGUUAGAAAGGGCGCACGGUGGAUGCCUUGACACUAGGAGUCGAUGAAGGACGGGACUAACGCCGAUAUGCUUCGGGGAGCUGUAAGUAAGCUUUGAUCCGAAGAUUUCCGAAUGGGGAAACCCACCAUACGUAAUGGUAUGGUAUCCUUAUCUGAAUACAUAGGGUAAGGAAGACAGACCCAGGGAACUGAAACAUCUAAGUACCUGGAGGAAGAGAAAGCAAAUGCGAUUUCCUGAGUAGCGGCGAGCGAAACGGAACAUAGCCCAAACCAAGAGGCUUGCCUCUUGGGGUUGUAGGACAUUCUAU